UACGUAGGUCCCGAGCGUUGUCCGGAUUUAUUGGCGUAAAGCGAGCGCAGGAGGUUUAUUAAGUCUGGUGUAAAAGGCAGUGGCUCAACCAUUGUAUGCAUUGGAAACUGGUAGACUUGAGUGCAGGAGAGGAGAGUGGAAUUCCAUGUGUAGCGGUGAAAUGCGUAGAUAUAUGGAGGAACACCGGUGGCGAAAGCGGCUCUCUGGCCUGUAACUGACACUGAGGCUCGAAAGCGUGGGGAGCAAACAGG
This 251-nucleotide ribosomal RNA is filed under the name uncultured bacterium. RNAcentral describes it as "partial 16S ribosomal RNA". It matches the Rfam family "Bacterial small subunit ribosomal RNA", at positions 524 to 776 of the family's 1533-position model. The record is from RNAcentral.